Molecule: transfer RNA, 58 nt
Filed under: Bos taurus (domestic cattle)
Lineage: Eukaryota; Metazoa; Chordata; Mammalia; Artiodactyla; Bovidae
Also listed under: 5 other names
Rfam family: tRNA
About the family: Transfer RNA (tRNA) molecules are approximately 80 nucleotides in length.
Source: Rfam by way of RNAcentral
UAGCUCAGUUUGGUAAAGAAUCUGCCUGCAAUGCAGGAGACCCAGGUUUGAUUCCUGG